UAAGUUAAAAACUUUCAACAACGGAUCUCUUGGUUCUGGCAUCGAUGAAGAACGCAGCGAAAUGCGAUAAGUAAUGUGAAUUGCAGAAUUCAGUGAAUCAUCGAAUCUUUGAACGCACAUUGCGCCCAUUAGUAUUCUAGUGGGCAUGCCUGUUC
This 155-nucleotide ribosomal RNA is filed under the name Xylaria sp. Its description in RNAcentral is "5.8S ribosomal RNA". It matches the Rfam family "5.8S ribosomal RNA". Rfam says of the family: 5.8S ribosomal RNA (5.8S rRNA) is a component of the large subunit of the eukaryotic ribosome. The record is from RNAcentral. Lineage: Eukaryota; Fungi; Ascomycota; Sordariomycetes; Xylariales; Xylariaceae.